Molecule: ribosomal RNA, 2903 nt
Filed under: Escherichia coli EC1738
Lineage: Bacteria; Pseudomonadati; Pseudomonadota; Gammaproteobacteria; Enterobacterales; Enterobacteriaceae
Description: bacterial LSU rRNA
Rfam family: Bacterial large subunit ribosomal RNA
Source: RNAcentral
UUAAGCGACUAAGCGUACACGGUGGAUGCCCUGGCAGUCAGAGGCGAUGAAGGACGUGCUAAUCUGCGAUAAGCGUCGGUAAGGUGAUAUGAACCGUUAUAACCGGCGAUUUCCGAAUGGGGAAACCCAGUGUGUUUCGACACACUAUCAUUAACUGAAUCCAUAGGUUAAUGAGGCGAACCGGGGGAACUGAAACAUCUAAGUACCCCGAGGAAAAGAAAUCAACCGAGAUUCCCCCAGUAGCGGCGAGCGAACGGGGAGGAGCCCAGAGCCUGAAUCAGUGUGUGUGUUAGUGGAAGCGUCUGGAAAGGCGCGCGAUACAGGGUGACAGCCCCGUACACAAAAAUGCACAUGCUGUGAGCUCGAUGAGUAGGGCGGGACACGUGGUAUCCUGUCUGAAUAUGGGGGGACCAUCCUCCAAGGCUAAAUACUCCUGACUGACCGAUAGUGAACCAGUACCGUGAGGGAAAGGCGAAAGGAACCCCGGCGAGGGGAGUGAAAAAGAACCUGAAACCGUGUACGUACAAGCAGUGGGAGCACAGAGCAAUCUGUGUGACUGCGUACCUUUUGUAUAAUGGGUCAGCGACUUAUAUUCUGUAGCAAGGUUAACCGAAUAGGGGAGCCGAAGGGAAACCGAGUCUUAACUGGGCGUUAAGUUGCAGUGUAUAGACCCGAAACCCGGUGAUCUAGCCAUGGGCAGGUUGAAGGUUGGGUAACACUAACUGGAGGACCGAACCGACUAAUGUUGAAAAAUUAGCGGAUGACUUGUGGCUGGGGGUGAAAGGCCAAUCAAACCGGGAGAUAGCUGGUUCUCCCCGAAAGCUAUUUAGGUAGCGCCUCGUGAAUUCAUCUCCGGGGGUAGAGCACUGUUUCGGCAAGGGGGUCAUCCCGACUUACCAACCCGAUGCAAACUGCGAAUACCGGAGAAUGUUAUCACGGGAGACACACGGCGGGUGCUAACGUCCGUCGUGAAGAGGGAAACAACCCAGACCGCCAGCUAAGGUCCCAAAGUCAUGGUUAAGUGGGAAACGAUGUGGGAAGGCCCAGACAGCCAGGAUGUUGGCUUAGAAGCAGCCAUCAUUUAAAGAAAGCGUAAUAGCUCACUGGUCGAGUCGGCCUGCGCGGAAGAUGUAACGGGGCUAAACCAUGCACCGAAGCUGCGGCAGCGACACUGUGUGUUGUUGGGUAGGGGAGCGUUCUGUAAGCCUGUGAAGGUGUGCUGUGAGGCAUGCUGGAGGUAUCAGAAGUGCGAAUGCUGACAUAAGUAACGAUAAAGCGGGUGAAAAGCCCGCUCGCCGGAAGACCAAGGGUUCCUGUCCAACGUUAAUCGGGGCAGGGUGAGUCGACCCCUAAGGCGAGGCCGAAAGGCGUAGUCGAUGGGAAACAGGUUAAUAUUCCUGUACUUGGUGUUACUGCGAAGGGGGGACGGAGAAGGCUAUGUUGGCCGGGCGACGGUUGUCCCGGUUUAAGCGUGUAGGCUGGUUUUCCAGGCAAAUCCGGAAAAUCAAGGCUGAGGCGUGAUGACGAGGCACUACGGUGCUGAAGCAACAAAUGCCCUGCUUCCAGGAAAAGCCUCUAAGCAUCAGGUAACAUCAAAUCGUACCCCAAACCGACACAGGUGGUCAGGUAGAGAAUACCAAGGCGCUUGAGAGAACUCGGGUGAAGGAACUAGGCAAAAUGGUGCCGUAACUUCGGGAGAAGGCACGCUGAUAUGUAGGUGAAGUCCCUCGCGGAUGGAGCUGAAAUCAGUCGAAGAUACCAGCUGGCUGCAACUGUUUAUUAAAAACACAGCACUGUGCAAACACGAAAGUGGACGUAUACGGUGUGACGCCUGCCCGGUGCCGGAAGGUUAAUUGAUGGGGUCAGCGCAAGCGAAGCUCUUGAUCGAAGCCCCGGUAAACGGCGGCCGUAACUAUAACGGUCCUAAGGUAGCGAAAUUCCUUGUCGGGUAAGUUCCGACCUGCACGAAUGGCGUAAUGAUGGCCAGGCUGUCUCCACCCGAGACUCAGUGAAAUUGAACUCGCUGUGAAGAUGCAGUGUACCCGCGGCAAGACGGAAAGACCCCGUGAACCUUUACUAUAGCUUGACACUGAACAUUGAGCCUUGAUGUGUAGGAUAGGUGGGAGGCUUUGAAGUGUGGACGCCAGUCUGCAUGGAGCCGACCUUGAAAUACCACCCUUUAAUGUUUGAUGUUCUAACGUGGACCCGUGAUCCGGGUUGCGGACAGUGUCUGGUGGGUAGUUUGACUGGGGCGGUCUCCUCCUAAAGAGUAACGGAGGAGCACGAAGGUUGGCUAAUCCUGGUCGGACAUCAGGAGGUUAGUGCAAUGGCAUAAGCCAGCUUGACUGCGAGCGUGACGGCGCGAGCAGGUGCGAAAGCAGGUCAUAGUGAUCCGGUGGUUCUGAAUGGAAGGGCCAUCGCUCAACGGAUAAAAGGUACUCCGGGGAUAACAGGCUGAUACCGCCCAAGAGUUCAUAUCGACGGCGGUGUUUGGCACCUCGAUGUCGGCUCAUCACAUCCUGGGGCUGAAGUAGGUCCCAAGGGUAUGGCUGUUCGCCAUUUAAAGUGGUACGCGAGCUGGGUUUAGAACGUCGUGAGACAGUUCGGUCCCUAUCUGCCGUGGGCGCUGGAGAACUGAGGGGGGCUGCUCCUAGUACGAGAGGACCGGAGUGGACGCAUCACUGGUGUUCGGGUUGUCAUGCCAAUGGCACUGCCCGGUAGCUAAAUGCGGAAGAGAUAAGUGCUGAAAGCAUCUAAGCACGAAACUUGCCCCGAGAUGAGUUCUCCCUGACCCUUUAAGGGUCCUGAAGGAACGUUGAAGACGACGACGUUGAUAGGCCGGGUGUGUAAGCGCAGCGAUGCGUUGAGCUAACCGGUACUAAUGAACCGUGAGGCUUAACCUU